AGACUUGAAGAUGAGGAACUGGUGUCCUACAUCCUUGCUGGGUUGGACAUCGACUUCAAUCCACUGGCGUCGGCCGUUGCCGCAUGUGUGGAACCUAUCACAUUGGGUAAGCUCUAUACUCAACUUGUUAGUUUUGAAC
Panicum hallii is the source of this 139-nucleotide small nucleolar RNA. RefSeq annotates it as small nucleolar RNA Z247. The record is from RefSeq and is a predicted model, not a curated record. The transcript has a single exon. Lineage: Eukaryota; Viridiplantae; Streptophyta; Magnoliopsida; Poales; Poaceae.